UUGAACGCUGGCGGAAUGCUUUACACAUGCAAGUCGAGCGGCAGCGCGGGGCAACCUGGCGGCGAGCGGCGAACGGGUGAGUAAUAUAUCGGAACGUACCCUGUCGUGGGGGAUAACACAUCGAAAGAUGUGCUAAUACCGCAUACGACCUGAGGGUGAAAGCGGGGGAUCGCAAGACCUCGCGCGAUAGGAGCGGCCGAUAUCGGAUUAGCUAGUUGGUGAGGUAAAGGCUCACCAAGGCGACGAUCCGUAGCUGGUCUGAGAGGACGGCCAGCCACACUGGAACUGAGACACGGUCCAGACUCCUACGGGAGGCAGCAGUGGGGAAUUUUGGACAAUGGGCGGAAGCCUGAUCCAGCCAUUCCGCGUGAGUGAAGAAGGCCUUCGGGUUGUAAAGCUCUUUCGGCAGGAACGAAACGGUCUUUUCUAAUACAAGAGGCUAAUGACGGUACCUGAAGAAGAAGCACCGGCUAACUACGU
Molecule: ribosomal RNA, 480 nt
Filed under: uncultured bacterium
Lineage: Bacteria
Description: bacterial SSU rRNA
Rfam family: Bacterial small subunit ribosomal RNA
Source: RNAcentral